This 642-nucleotide ribosomal RNA is filed under the name uncultured organism. RNAcentral describes it as "bacterial SSU rRNA". It matches the Rfam family "Bacterial small subunit ribosomal RNA", at positions 776 to 1421 of the family's 1533-position model. The record is from RNAcentral.
GAUGAGAUACCCGGGUAGUCCACGCAGUAUACGAUGCUCACUCGCUGUUGUCAAUACACCGUCAGCGGGCUAAGGGAAACCGAUAAGUGAUCCACAUGGGGAGUACGAUCGCAAAGAUUGAAACUCAAAGGAAUUGACGGGGGCACCGCACAAGCGGUGGGAACAUGUGGUUUAAUUGGAUGAUACGCGAGGAACCUUACAUUGGGCUUAAAUGUGAAGUGCAUUGUUUGGAAACAGACAUUUCCUUCGGGACUCUUUACAAGGUGCUGCAUGGUUGUCGUCAGCUCGUGCCGUGAGGUGUCGGGUUAAGUCCCAUAACGAGCGCAACCCCUAUUGUUAGUUACCAGCGCGUCAAGGCGGGGACUCUAACGAGACUGCCGGUGUAAACCGCGAGGAAGGUGGGGAUGACGUCAAAUCAGCACGGCCAUUAUGUCCAGGGCUACACACGUGUUACAAUGGUCGGUACAGAGGGCAGCUAGGCAGCGAUGUCAAGCGAAUCUCGAAAGCCGAUCCCAGUUCGGAUUGGAGUCUGCAACCCGACUCCAUGAAGGUGGAAUCGCUAGUAAUCGCGCAUCAGCCAUGGCGCGGUGAUACGUUCCCGGCAUGUACACACCGCCCGUCAACCAUGAAGUCUGGGGUGCA